Molecule: ribosomal RNA, 481 nt
Filed under: uncultured bacterium
Lineage: Bacteria
Description: partial 16S ribosomal RNA
Rfam family: Bacterial small subunit ribosomal RNA
Source: RNAcentral
GAUGAACGCUGGCGGCGUGCUUAACACAUGCAAGUCGAACGAAACACCUUAUUUGAUUUUCUUCGGAACUGAAGAUUUGGUGAUUGAGUGGCGGACGGGUGAGUAACGCGUGGGUAACCUGCCCUGUACAGGGGGAUAACAGUCAGAAAUGACUGCUAAUACCGCAUAAGACCACAGCACCGCAUGGUGCAGGGGUAAAAACUCCGGUGGUACAGGAUGGACCCGCGUCUGAUUAGCUGGUUGGUGAGGUAACGGCUCACCAAGGCGACGAUCAGUAGCCGGCUUGAGAGAGUGAACGGCCACAUUGGGACUGAGACACGGACAAAACUCCUACGGGAGGCAGCAGUGGGGAAUAUUGCACAAUGGGGGAAACCCUGAUGCAGCGACGCCGCGUGAGUGAAGAAGUAUUUCGGUAUGUAAAGCUCUAUCAGCAGGGAAGAAAAUGACGGUACCUGACUAAGAAGCCCCGGCUAACUACGUG